AGCGGAGGAAAAGAAACCAACAGGGAUUGCCUCAGUAACGGCGAGUGAAGCGGCAACAGCUCAAAUUUGAAAUCUGGCUCUCGGGCCCGAGUUGUAAUUUGUAGAGGAUGCUUUUGGUGAGGUGCCUUCCGAGUUCCCUGGAACGGGACGCCAUAGAGGGUGAGAGCCCCGUCUGGUUGGACGCCGAACCUCUGUAAAGCUCCUUCGACGAGUCGAGUAGUUUGGGAAUGCUGCUCUAAAUGGGAGGUAUAUGUCUUCUAAAGCUAAAUACCGGCCAGAGACCGAUAGCGCACAAGUAGAGUGAUCGAAAGAUGAAAAGAACUUUGAAAAGAGAGUUAAACAGUACGUGAAAUUGUUGAAAGGGAAGCGCUUGUGACCAGACUUGGGCUUGGUUGAUCAUCCGGGGUUCUCCCCGGUGCACUCUUCCGGCCCAGGCCAGCAUCAGUUCGCCCUGGGGGACAAAGGCUUCGGGAACGUGGCUCUCUCCGGGGAGUGUUAUAGCCCGUUGCGUAAUACCCUGUGGCGGACUGAGGUUCGCGCAUUCGCAAGGAUGCUGGCGUAAUGGUCAUCAGUGACCCGU
RNAcentral lists this ribosomal RNA (580 nucleotides) under Fusarium sp. RNAcentral describes it as "eukaryotic LSU rRNA". It matches the Rfam family "Eukaryotic large subunit ribosomal RNA", at positions 49 to 652 of the family's 3401-position model. The record is from RNAcentral. Lineage: Eukaryota; Fungi; Ascomycota; Sordariomycetes; Hypocreales; Nectriaceae.